RNAcentral lists this long non-coding RNA (212 nucleotides) under Phoenix dactylifera (date palm). RNAcentral's name for it is "long non-coding RNA (PDAC_LNC018717)". Lineage: Eukaryota; Viridiplantae; Streptophyta; Magnoliopsida; Arecales; Arecaceae. The record is from RNAcentral.
GGUUGAGGCACUGAUGGCAUCGAUGGGCAAUAAACAACUUCCAAGAAAUCACAGAAGCUGGGAAGGAUCGUGAUGGAGAACCGAGGCGUUGGAAUGGGACCGGGAUGGCUUCUUCUCGGUUGGGAAACGGCAGCAUUUAAGAUCCCAAGUGGAGAACCGGCUGAGAUCUCCUUGAAAUAAGGCGAUGGAAGACUCUAGCGUUGGAUCUGAAA